This 513-nucleotide ribosomal RNA is filed under the name uncultured bacterium. RNAcentral's name for it is "partial 16S ribosomal RNA". It matches the Rfam family "Bacterial small subunit ribosomal RNA", at positions 28 to 507 of the family's 1533-position model. The record is from RNAcentral.
GACGAACGCUGGCGGCGUGCUUAACACAUGCAAGUCGAACGAGAGCGUAGAGAAAGCUUGCUUUUUCUACAAUCUAGUGGCAAACGGGUGAGUAACGCGUAAACAACCUGCCCUACGGAUGGGGACAACAGCUGGAAACGGCUGCUAAUACCGAAUACGUUCCGAAAGUCGCAUGACUAUCGGAAGAAAGGAUGGCCUCUAUUUAUAAGCUAUCGCCGGAGGAGGGGUUUGCGUCUGAUUAGCUAGUUGGAGGGGUAACGGCCCUCCAAGGCGACGAUCAGUAGCCGGUCUGAGAGGAUGAACGGCCACAUUGGAACUGAGACACGGUCCAGACUCCUACGGGAGGCAGCAGUGGGGAAUCUUCCGCAAUGGGCGAAAGCCUGACGGAGCAACGCCGCGUGAGUGAAGACGGCCUUCGGGUUGUAAAGCUCUGUUAUACGGGACGAAUAAUCUUGUGGUUAAUACCCAUGAGAAGUGACGGUACCGUAAGAGAAAGCCACGGCUAACUACGUG